This 818-nucleotide ribosomal RNA is filed under the name uncultured bacterium. RNAcentral describes it as "bacterial SSU rRNA". It matches the Rfam family "Bacterial small subunit ribosomal RNA", at positions 61 to 868 of the family's 1533-position model. The record is from RNAcentral.
GUCGAACGGAGCCUUAACCAAAGAAGCAGCCAGCUUGCUGGAAGCGGAAAAGGGAAAGGCUUAGUGGCGGACGGGUGAGUAACGCGUGGGUAACCUGGCCCAUACAGGGGGAUAACACUUAGAAAUAGGUGCUAAUACCGCAUAACAACAGAAAGCGCAUGCUUUUUGUUUGAAAACCAAGGUGGUAUGGGAUGGACCCGCGUCUGAUUAGCUGGUUGGCGGGGUAAAGGCCCACCAAGGCGACGAUCAGUAGCCGGCCUGAGAGGGUGGACGGCCACAUUGGGACUGAGACACGGCCCAAACUCCUACGGGAGGCAGCAGUGGGGAAUAUUGCACAAUGGGGGAAACCCUGAUGCAGCGACGCCGCGUGAGUGAAGAAGUAAUUCGUUAUGUAAAGCUCUAUCAGCAGGGAAGAAAAUGACGGUACCUGAGUAAGAAGCCCCGGCUAACUACGUGCCAGCAGCCGCGGUAAUACGUAGGGGGCAAGCGUUAUCCGGAUUUACUGGGUGUAAAGGGAGCGUAGACGGCAGUGCAAGUCUGGAGUGAAAGGCGGGGGCUCAACCCCCGGACUGCUCUGGAAACUGUACGGCUGGAGUGCAGGAGAGGUAAGUGGAAUUCCUAGUGUAGCGGUGAAAUGCGUAGAUAUUAGGAGGAACACCAGUGGCGAAGGCGGCUUACUGGACUGUAACUGACGUUGAGGCUCGAAAGCGUGGGGAGCAAACAGGAUUAGAUACCCUGGUAGUCCACGCCGUAAACGAUGAUCACUAGGUGUCGGGGGUUAAAGAACCUUCGGUGCCGCAGCCAACGCAGUAAGUGAU